GGAGUCGGCUGGACAACCGCGGUCCUAGCGUCUGUGGCCCACCCAUUGGGGGUUUGCGGUGCAGGGCGGAGGAAAGUCCGGGCUCCAUAGGGCAGGGUGCCAGAUAACCUCUGGGCGGCGUGAGCCGACGGAAAGUGCCACAGAAAAUAUACCGCCCGCUUCUCAGCCUCGGCUGGUGGCAGGUAAGGGUGAAAUGGUGCGGUAAGAGCGCACCGCGUUCGUGGUAAUACGAACGGCAGGGCAAACCCCACUCGGAGCAAGACCAAAUAGGAAUCCAACGGCGUUGCCCGCGCCGGAUUCGGGUAGGUCGCUUGAGGCACGCGGUGACGCGCGCCCCAGAUGAAUGGUUGUCCUCGACAGAACCCGGCUUACAGGCCGACUCCUUCU
RNAcentral lists this RNase P RNA (387 nucleotides) under Arenicellales bacterium. RNAcentral's name for it is "RNase P RNA component class A". It matches the Rfam family "Bacterial RNase P class A". From Rfam's summary of the family: Ribonuclease P (RNase P) is a ubiquitous endoribonuclease, found in archaea, bacteria and eukarya as well as chloroplasts and mitochondria. The record is from RNAcentral. Lineage: Bacteria; Pseudomonadati; Pseudomonadota; Gammaproteobacteria; Arenicellales.